UUAUGGCUCAGGACGAACGCUGGCGGCACGCUUAACACAUGCAAGUCGAACGGAGAAAUUGGAUUAUUCAUUUCUAGUGGCGGACGGGUGAGUAACACGUGAGCAACCUGCCUUUGAGAGGGGAAUAGCUUCGGGAAACUGAUGGUAAUACCCUAUAACAUAUAUUUGCCGCAUGGCAGAUAUAUCAAAGAUUUAUCACUCAAAGGAUGGGCUCGCGUCUGAUUAGGUAGUUGGUGAGGUAACGGCUCACCAAGCCGACGAUCAGUAGCCGGACUGAGAGGUUGAACGGCCACAUUGGGACUGAGACACGGCCCAGACUCCUACGGGAGGCAGCAGUGGGGAAUAUUGCACAAUGGGGGGAACCCUGAUGCCAGCGAUGCCGCGUGGAGGAAGAAGGUUUUCGGAUUGUAAACUCCUUUUGUAUGGGAAGAUAAUGACUGUACCAUACGAAUAAGCUCCGGCUAACUACGUGCCAGCCGCAGC
This 483-nucleotide ribosomal RNA is filed under the name uncultured bacterium. RNAcentral describes it as "bacterial SSU rRNA". It matches the Rfam family "Bacterial small subunit ribosomal RNA", at positions 17 to 518 of the family's 1533-position model. The record is from RNAcentral.